CCCCCGUAGAGCUCCCCCAAAUUGGAGAUAAGCCCAGCGACUGUGAAAACCAAAUAUGGCGUAAGAAGGGCAGGAAAUCACAAUGUUUUAAAUUCAUUCAUCCCCGUCGACCUCCCCCAAAUUGGAGAUAAGCCUGGCAACUGUGAAAACUAAAUCCAGCUUAAGGAAGGCAGGAAAUCACUAAUUUUCCUACCAUUCACCUCCGUCGCCUUCCCCAAAAUUGGAGAGAAGACCGCACCUGUCAAAACCGAAUCCAACGUUUUCUGGCUGUAAAUAUAUUAGACCAGCCAUUUCGACGGCUUCUUCCGGCUGUGAGGUCAGCUGUGUAUAUUAAACUCAGAACUUUUUGUGUGAUCACUUUUUAAAUUUUCUUUUGACGUGUUGGCAGCGUUGUUAAGGAGGUGUUUGGAGUUUUACAUGAUAAAGUUUUGAGCUUGGAGCCACUGAUAUGUGUUAAAGUAGAUGUAGCAGAGGAUGUAAAGCUGGCUGAUUUUCAUUUUUAUUGUCAUCCAUGUGCUUGGAGCCACUGAUAUGUGUUAAGGUUUGAGAAUGUAAUACUUUUGGAAAAUGGAGCAAUUUGUCACGGCUCACAACUUCUUAAUAAUUGGAGAGAACGAGAUGACCUUUAGAAAAAAGGAAGUUCACUUUCAAUUCUCAUUACUUUUGUCCUCAAACUGAAGCAAGAGAUGAAAUUGCUAUUUGGAAGGGAGAUAUUUGAAUUGCAUACGUUUCUCCUCAAGUAAGGUUGUAUCUAUAGAUUUCUUUCAAUGUUUAGAGAUAAUUCGAUCAUUUUGAGAGAAUGGCAUG
This is a long non-coding RNA of Olea europaea var. sylvestris, 807 nucleotides long. RefSeq lists it as uncharacterized. The transcript is spliced from 3 exons. NCBI's taxonomy places the organism in Eukaryota, Viridiplantae, Streptophyta, Magnoliopsida, Lamiales, Oleaceae. The record is from RefSeq and is a predicted model, not a curated record.